GGCGGCAUGCUUACACAUGCAAGUCGCACGGGCAGCUUCGGCUGUCAGUGGCGGACGGGUGAGUAACGCGUAGGUAUCUAUCCUCGGGUGGGGGACAACCACGGGAAACUGUGGCUAAUACCGCAUGAUGACCCCAAUCGGGAGGUUGGGGUCCAAAGGCGCAAGUCGCCUGGGGAGGAGCCUGCGUCCGAUUAGCUUGUUGGUGGGGUAAAAGCCUACCAAGGCUCCGAUCGGUAGCUGGUCUGAGAGGAUGAUCAGCCACACUGGGACUGAGACACGGCCCAGACUCCUACGGGAGGCAGCAGUGGGGAAUAUUGGACAAUGGGCGAAAGCCUGAUCCAGCAAUGCCGCGUGGGUGAAGAAGGUCUUCGGAUUGUAAAGCCCUUUCGGCGGGGACGAUGAUGACGGUACCCGCAGAAGAAGCCCCGGCUAACUUCGUGCCAGCAGCCGCGGUAAUACGAAGGGGGCUAGCGUUGCUCGGAUUGACUGGGCGUAAAGGGCGCGUANGCGGCUUGUACAGUCAGGCGUGAAAUU
This 534-nucleotide ribosomal RNA is filed under the name uncultured bacterium. RNAcentral describes it as "bacterial SSU rRNA". It matches the Rfam family "Bacterial small subunit ribosomal RNA", at positions 38 to 601 of the family's 1533-position model. The record is from RNAcentral.